This 449-nucleotide ribosomal RNA is filed under the name uncultured bacterium. RNAcentral's name for it is "bacterial SSU rRNA". It matches the Rfam family "Bacterial small subunit ribosomal RNA", at positions 329 to 795 of the family's 1533-position model. The record is from RNAcentral.
UACCAGACUCCUACGGGAGGCAGCAGUGGGGAAUAUUGGACAAUGGGGGAAACCCUGAUGCAGCGACGCCGCGUGAGUGAAGAAGUAAUUCGUUACGUAAAGCUCUAUCAGCAGGGAAGAAAAUGACGGUACCUGACUAAGAAGCCCCGGCUAACUACGUGCCAGCAGCCGCGGUAAUACGUAGGGGGCAAGCGUUAUCCGGAAUUACUGGGUGUAAAGGGAGCGCAGACGGCAGUGCAAGUCUGGAGUGAAAGGCGGGGGCCCAACCCCCGGACUGCUCUGGGAACUGUAUAGCUAGAGUGCAGGAGAGGCAAGUGGAAUUCCUAGUGUAGCGGUGAAAUGCGUAGAUAUUAGGAGGAACACCAGUGGCGAAGGCGGCGUGCUGGACUGUAACUGACGUUGAGGCUCGAAAGCGUGGGGAGCAAACAGGAUUAGAUACCCGGGUAUUU